CCUACGGGGUGCUGCAGUGAGGAAUAUUGGUCAAUGGGAGAGAUCCUGAACCAGCCAAGCCGCGUGAGGGAAGACGGCCCUAUGGGUUGUAAACCUCUUUUGUCGGAGAACAAAACCCGGGACGUGUCCCGGACUGCGUGUAUCCGAAGAAAAAGCAUCGGCUAACUCCGUGCCAGCAGCCGCGGUAAUACGGAGGAUGCGAGCGUUAUCCGGAUUUAUUGGGUUUAAAGGGUGCGUAGGCGGUCCGUUAAGUCAGCGGUAAAAUUGCGGGGCUCAACCCUGUCGAGCCGUUGAAACUGGCAGACUUGAGUUGGCGAGAAGUACGCGGAAUGUGUAGUGUAGCGGUGAAAUGCAUAGAUAUUACACAGAACACCGAUUGCGAAGGCAGCUUGCUAGGCCGGAUCUGACACUGAUGCACGAAAGCGUGGGGAUCGAACAGGAUUAGAUACCCGGGUAGUC
Molecule: ribosomal RNA, 459 nt
Filed under: uncultured bacterium
Lineage: Bacteria
Description: partial 16S ribosomal RNA
Rfam family: Bacterial small subunit ribosomal RNA
Source: RNAcentral